AGAGUUUGAUCCUGGCUCAGGAUGAACGCUAGCGACAGGCCUAACACAUGCAAGUCGAGGGGCAGCGGGGAGGUAGCAAUACCUUUGCCGGCGACCGGCGCACGGGUGAGUAACACGUAUGCAAUCCACCUGUAACAGGGGGAUAACCCGGAGAAAUCCGGACUAAUACCCCAUAAUAUGGGCGCUCCGCAUGGAGAGUUCAUUAAAGAGAGCAAUUUUGGUUACAGACGAGCAUGCGCUCCAUUAGCCAGUUGGCGGGGUAACGGCCCACCAAAGCGACGAUGGAUAGGGGUUCUGAGAGGAAGGUCCCCCACAUUGGAACUGAGACACGGUCCAAACUCCUACGGGAGGCAGCAGUGAGGAAUAUUGGUCAAUGGUCGGCAGACUGAACCAGCCAAGUCGCGUGAGGGAAGACGGCCCUACGGGUUGUAAACCUCUUUUGUCGGAGAGUGAAGUACGCUACGUGUAGCGUAUUGCAAGUAUCCGAAGAAAAAGCAUCGGCUAACUCCGUGCCAGCAGCCGCGGUAAUACGGAGGAUGCGAGCGUUAUCCGGAUUUAUUGGGUUUAAAGGGUGCGUAGGCGGCACGCCAAGUCAGCGGUGAAAUUUCCGGGCUCAACCCGGAGUGUGCCGUUGAAACUGGCGAGCUAGAGUACACAAGAGGCAGGCGGAAUGCGUGGUGUAGCGGUGAAAUGCAUAGAUAUCACGCAGAACCCCGAUUGCGAAGGCAGCCUGCUAGGGUGAAACAGACGCUGAGGCACGAAAGCGUGGGUAUCGAACAGGAUUAGAUACCCUGGUAGUCCACACUGUAAACGAUGAUUGCUAGGUGUGGGGGGUCUGACCCCUUCGGUGCCGGAGUUAACGCAAUAAGCAAUCCACCUGGGGGAGUACGGCCGCAAGGUUGAAACUCAAAGGAAUUGACGGGGGCCCGCACAAGGCAGUGGAUUAUGUGGUUUAAUUCGACGCAACGCGAAGAACCUUACCAGGUCU
This 988-nucleotide ribosomal RNA is filed under the name uncultured bacterium. RNAcentral's name for it is "bacterial SSU rRNA". It matches the Rfam family "Bacterial small subunit ribosomal RNA", at positions 8 to 981 of the family's 1533-position model. The record is from RNAcentral.